UGAGUAACCUGCCCUUAACUCUGGGAUAAGCCUGGGAAACUGGGUCUAAUACCGGAUAUGACUCCUCAUCGCAUGGUGGGGGGUGGAAAGCUUUAUUGUGGUUUUGGAUGGACUCGCGGCCUAUCAGCUUGUUGGUGAGGUAAUGGCUCACCAAGGCGACGACGGGUAGCUGGUCUGAGAGGACGACCAGCCACACUGGAACUGAGAUACGGUCCAGACUCCUACGGGAGCAG
This 233-nucleotide ribosomal RNA is filed under the name uncultured bacterium. RNAcentral describes it as "partial 16S ribosomal RNA". It matches the Rfam family "Bacterial small subunit ribosomal RNA", at positions 118 to 347 of the family's 1533-position model. The record is from RNAcentral.